GCUUGCUGCUGAUGGAUGCAGAGCACUAUGAACAGUCCGAGUCUGUGCGACAGUUUUUAGACUUGGACUUCUACAUCAUCACCCUCGUGCUGGUCCUUCAAGUUGUGCUGAAGAACAUCACCUUUGGCUUAGUGAGGUUCCUGAAAGUCGGAUGGAACGUUCUGGACAUAUUUAUUGUCCUGAUUUCUAUCAUCAGCAUAGUUUUAACUCAGCUCAAAUUCUCCAACAACAUCCCAUCAAAU
Fundulus heteroclitus (mummichog) is the source of this 242-nucleotide long non-coding RNA. RefSeq lists it as uncharacterized. The record is from RefSeq and is a predicted model, not a curated record. The transcript has 3 exons. Lineage: Eukaryota; Metazoa; Chordata; Actinopteri; Cyprinodontiformes; Fundulidae.